AGCAGCCGCGGUAAUUCCAGCUCCAAUAGCGUAUAUUAAAGUUGUUGCAGUUAAAAAGCUCGUAGUUGAAUUUCGGAAUUUGUCGGUUGGUCGGGCUUCACUGUCCGCACUGACCUGAUAGAUUCCUACCUUCUGAAUAACCAGCAUGCUAUUAAGUUAGUGCGUUGGGGAAGCAGAGCUAUUACCUUGAAAAAAUUAGAGUGCUUAAAGCAGGCUUGUGCUUGAAUAGAUUAGCAUGGAAUAAUAAAAUAGGACGGCAUGGUUCUAUUUUGUUGGUUUCUAGGAUCACCGUAAUGAUUAAUAGGGAUAGUUGGGGGCAUUAGUAUUCAAUUGUCAGAGGUGAAAUUCUUGGAUUUAUUGAAGCUAACUUCUGCGAAAGCAUUUGCCAAGGAUGUUUUCAUUAAUCAAGAACGAAAGUUAGGGGAUCGAAGACGAUCAGAUACCGUCGUAGUCUUAACCAUAAACUAUGCCGACUAGGGAUCGGACGAUGUUAAUUUUUAAUGACUCGUUC
Molecule: ribosomal RNA, 511 nt
Filed under: uncultured Acaulospora
Lineage: Eukaryota; Fungi; Glomeromycota; Glomeromycetes; Diversisporales; Acaulosporaceae
Description: SSU rRNA
Rfam family: Eukaryotic small subunit ribosomal RNA
Source: RNAcentral